UCAGCUGUUUCCAGCAAGUAGUUGGCAUGGAGAGAGCAGUUUGUCCCUGGAGCCUGGCCUGGCUUUGUGCUGGCCUUCACUCGGUGUGAAGCAGCUGUGAACUGUUACAGAUGCUUCUUUGCCACGUGUCAUUUGUAGUCAAGAGAAUGCGCUACCGAAGAAGACCUUUCUGGACUACUCACAGGAAACUGAGGUUGUGUGUGCUGCCCGAAGAGAACAUGUUGUCCUGGAGGGACCCUGAGAUCCUUUGUUGCCUGCUGCUCACUGUGCUGAGCCCCAGGAUGGAGCAGCCUUGGUGGACUCCUGGUCCCAUUCACCCAGCCGUGGGAGUGCUGAAGGCUAAGUAAGUUCUCAUCAACCGGUAAUACUGAGAAAACCUGGCACCGUGACCCUUUGACCCCCAGAAUUCACAUCUGCACUGUGAUGCAGGCACCCCUUGGCCAGGGGCUCUGUGAUAGCAAUCCACUGCAAGCCCAUCUGCAGGAAGAGCUCAGGAUGCCCUCUUCUAACUGAGUCAGGUGAGUGAUUCCACUUGGACUGGAUGACCUUGAGGUCUUUUCCAACCUCGGUGAUUCUAUGAUUCCUCUCAACCUCCCAGAUCCUAUAGCCUGAGCUUCAGGUCUGAAUCUGGAACCCUCCAAGCCCCAGGAAGUCCUGCAGGCUGUCACAGUGAUGUGAUGGCCCGCUGUUGGACAGCACAUGCUUGGGUUAAAAUAUAGCAGCUCGGUCAAAGAACCAAUAAACUGAAUUUAAAGCCA
Coturnix japonica (Japanese quail) is the source of this 758-nucleotide long non-coding RNA. RefSeq lists it as uncharacterized. The record is from RefSeq and is a predicted model, not a curated record. NCBI's taxonomy places the organism in Eukaryota, Metazoa, Chordata, Aves, Galliformes, Phasianidae.